AGAGUUGUAUCCUGGCUCAGGAUGAACGCUGGCGGUAUGCUUUACACAUGCAAGUCGUACGAGAGUUUUUAACUCAAGUGGCGGACGGGUGAGUAACACGUAAGAAUUUGCCUUUAGGAGGGGGACAACAACUGGAAACGGUUGCUAAUACCCCAUAUGCUUUCGAGUGAAACGGUUUUUCCGCCUAAAGAGAAGCUUGCGGCUGAUUAGCUUGUUGGUAAGGUAAUGGCUUACCAAGGCGACGAUCAGUAUCUGGUUUGAGAGGACGAUCAGACACACUGGAACUGAGACACGGUCCAGACUCCUACGGGAGGCAGCAGUGGGGAAUUUUCCGCAAUGGGCGAAAGCCUGACGGAGCAAUACCGCGUGAGGGAUGAAUGCCUAUGGGUUGUAAACCUCUUUUUUCAGGGAGGAAAAAAAUGACGUUACCUGAAGAAUAAGCAUCGGCUAACUCCGUGCCAGCAGCCGCGGUAAGACGGAGGAUGCAAGUGUUAUCCGGAAUCACUGGGCGUAAAGCGUCUGUAGGUGGUUUGAUAAGUCAACUGUUAAAUCUUGAGGCUCAACCUCAAAACCGCAGUCGAAACUAUUAGACUAGAGUAUAGUAGGGGUAAAGGGAAUUUCCAGUGGAGCGGUGAAAUGCGUAGAGAUUGGAAAGAACACCGAUGGC
Molecule: ribosomal RNA, 667 nt
Filed under: uncultured bacterium
Lineage: Bacteria
Description: bacterial SSU rRNA
Rfam family: Bacterial small subunit ribosomal RNA
Source: RNAcentral